GCGGACGUGGUGGAAUUGGUAGACACACUGGAUUUAGGUUCCAGCGCCGCAAGGCGUGAGAUUCGAGUCUCUCCGUCCGCACCA
RNAcentral lists this transfer RNA (84 nucleotides) under Pseudomonas cavernicola. RNAcentral's name for it is "Pseudomonas sp. K1S02-6 tRNA-Leu". It matches the Rfam family "tRNA". From Rfam's summary of the family: Transfer RNA (tRNA) molecules are approximately 80 nucleotides in length. Lineage: Bacteria; Pseudomonadati; Pseudomonadota; Gammaproteobacteria; Pseudomonadales; Pseudomonadaceae. The record is from RNAcentral.